RNAcentral lists this ribosomal RNA (389 nucleotides) under uncultured bacterium. RNAcentral's name for it is "bacterial SSU rRNA". It matches the Rfam family "Bacterial small subunit ribosomal RNA", at positions 28 to 418 of the family's 1533-position model. The record is from RNAcentral.
GACGAACGCUGGCGGCGUGCUUAACACAUGCAAGUCGAGCGGUAAGGCCCUUUCGGGGGUACACGAGCGGCGAACGGGUGAGUAACACGUGGGUGACCUGCCCUCAGCUCUGGGAUAAGCCUGGGAAACUGGGUCUAAUACCGGAUAUGACUCCAUGACGCAUGUUGUGGGGUGGAAAGCCUUGUGCGGCUGAGGAUGGGCCCGCGGCCUAUCAGCUUGUUGGUGGGGUGANGGCCUACCAAGGCGACGACGGGUAGCCGGCCUGAGAGGGCGACCGGCCACACUGGGACUGAGACACGGCCCAGACUCCUACGGGAGGCAGCAGUGGGGAAUCUUGCGCAAUGGGCGAAAGCCUGACGCAGCGACGCCGCGUGAGGGAUGACGGCCUC